GAUGAAGAACGCAGUGAAAUGCGAUAAGUAAUGUGAAUUGCAGAAUUCAGUGAAUCAUCGAAUCUUUGAACGCACAUUGCGCCCCCUGGUAUUCCGGGGGCAUGCCUGUCCGAGCGUCAUUACAACCCUCAAGCUCAGCUUGGUGUUGGGCCCCGCCGCCCCGGCGGGCCCUAAAGUCAGUGGCGGUGCCGUCCGGCUCCGAGCGUAGUAAUUCUUCUCGCUCUGGAGGUCCGGUCGUGUGCUCGCCAGCAACCCCCAAUUUUUUUCAGGUUGACCUCGGAUCAGGUAGGGAUACCCGCUGAACUUAAGCAUAUCAAUAAGCGGAGGA
RNAcentral lists this unclassified non-coding RNA (328 nucleotides) under soil metagenome. RNAcentral's name for it is "partial contains 5.8S ribosomal RNA, internal transcribed spacer 2, and large subunit ribosomal RNA". The stretch from base 1 to 119 matches the Rfam family "5.8S ribosomal RNA", at positions 35 to 154 of the family's 154-position model. The record is from RNAcentral.